CAGUCGCCACGGUAAUACGGAGGGCGCGAGCGUUACCCGGAUUUACUGGGCGUAAAGGGCGUGUAGGCGGCCUGGGGCGUCCCAUGUGAAAGGCCACGGUUGAGCCGUGGAGGAGCGUGGGAUACGCUCAGGCUAGAGGGUGGGAGAGGGUGGUGGAAUUCCCGGAGUAGCGGUGAAAUGCGCAGAUACCGGGAGGAACGCCGAUGGCGAAGGCAGCCACCUGGUCCACUUCUGACGCUGAGGCGCGAAAGCGUGGGGAGCAAACCGGAUUAGAUACCCCCGUAGUCCCUGUCUCUUAUAC
This 301-nucleotide ribosomal RNA is filed under the name uncultured bacterium. RNAcentral's name for it is "partial 16S ribosomal RNA". It matches the Rfam family "Bacterial small subunit ribosomal RNA", at positions 509 to 807 of the family's 1533-position model. The record is from RNAcentral.